Molecule: ribosomal RNA, 253 nt
Filed under: uncultured bacterium
Lineage: Bacteria
Description: partial 16S ribosomal RNA
Rfam family: Bacterial small subunit ribosomal RNA
Source: RNAcentral
UACGGAGGGGGCAAGCGUUACUCGGAAUUAUUGGGCGUAAAGGGCGCGUAGGCGGUCGUGUGCGUCGAGGGUGAAAUCCCCGGGCUUAACCCGGGAGCUGCCUUCGAUACGGCACGGCUUGAGUCCGGGAGAGGGGAGCAGAAUUCCCAGUGUAGCGGUGAAAUGCGUAGAUAUUGGGAGGAAUACCGGUGGCGAAGGCGGCAUCCUGGACCGAGAUUGACGCUGAUGAGCGAAAGCUAGGGGAGCAAACGGG